Molecule: ribosomal RNA, 250 nt
Filed under: uncultured prokaryote
Description: partial 16S ribosomal RNA
Rfam family: Bacterial small subunit ribosomal RNA
Source: RNAcentral
UACGUAUGGAGCGAGCGUUAUCCGGAUUCACUGGGCGUAAAGGGAGCGUAGGCGGCCCGUUAAGUCUGAUGUGAAAACCCGCGGCCCAACCGCGGGACUGCAUUGGAAACUGACGGGCUAGAGUGUCGGAGGGGCAAGCGGAAUUCCUGGUGUAGCGGUGAAAUGCAUAGAUAUCAGGAGGAACACCGGUGGCGAAGGCGGCUUGCUGGACGACUACUGACGCUGAGACUCGAAAGCGUGGGGAGCAAAC